AAGCAAAGGAUAAAAAAUAAAAUAUCCUUAGGCAUGAUUCUGGCUGUCUUGGACACCUGUAUGCCACUUGCCAAUGCAAGAAUUUGUCAUAAUUAUACUGACUGCAU
Molecule: small nucleolar RNA, 107 nt
Filed under: Carlito syrichta (Philippine tarsier)
Lineage: Eukaryota; Metazoa; Chordata; Mammalia; Primates; Tarsiidae
Description: Small nucleolar RNA SNORD46 (ENSTSYG00000028941.1)
Rfam family: Small nucleolar RNA SNORD46
About the family: U40 is a C/D box small nucleolar RNA, also known as snoZ153 in plants.
Source: Rfam by way of RNAcentral